This is a long non-coding RNA of Fukomys damarensis (Damara mole-rat), 703 nucleotides long. RefSeq lists it as uncharacterized. The transcript has 3 exons. The record is from RefSeq and is a predicted model, not a curated record. NCBI's taxonomy places the organism in Eukaryota, Metazoa, Chordata, Mammalia, Rodentia, Bathyergidae.
UUCAGAUUGUGGUGGCUGUGUCUCGUUGACAUCACUGGUCUUACUUUCUGUGUCAUCAUCUGACAGCUCCAGGGAAGCCCCCUCAAUGUGCAGCUGGCGCCGGCUAGACCGGCUUGAAGAAAAGCUGAUUGGGCCGCCCCGCCUACAAGAGCAAAACAGAUGUGGGUACGAGCUUCGUAAAGCCAAAGGACAAUGCAAACACAGCAGCAUUAGAGGAACCUGCAUACUGGCCAGCCACUUGCCUGCUGUGUGUGACAGAUCGAGUGAAGAUACUACCAGAGAUGGAUCGAUCAAGGAUCCCUGAUCUCAACAUCCAUGAUGCCGCAAAAGGAAGAAGCCACACCUGCCCUGGGACCAGAGACAGCCAAGACACAUAUUGUGUAAAACUGCCUUCAGCCCAUGAGGAUAAGUGUAUAUAAAACAUGAAUUUCAUGUUUACACAGGGCUCAUCUCUCCAAGAGAUCUAAUUACAUAGAUGCAAAUAUUCCAAAGUCAGAAAAAAAACAUAAAUCUGAACGACUUCUGGUCCCAAAUAUUUUGGACAAGUGAUUUUCAACAUGAACUAGGUUAUGGGAGUUUUGUAUUUCAUGCUUUUUUUCUUUUUUCCAAUUUUCAUGUACGAUUGUAUUGCUUUUAAACAAAGAAACUUUUUUUUUAUACCAGAGAGAGAUUGAGAGAGAGAGAGAGAGAGAAAGCAAAAAAA